Molecule: ribosomal RNA, 748 nt
Filed under: uncultured Moraxella sp.
Lineage: Bacteria; Pseudomonadati; Pseudomonadota; Gammaproteobacteria; Moraxellales; Moraxellaceae
Description: bacterial SSU rRNA
Rfam family: Bacterial small subunit ribosomal RNA
Source: RNAcentral
AUUGAACGCUGGCGGCAGGCUUAACACAUGCAAGUCGAACGAUGAAGUCUAGCUUGCUAGACGGAUUAGAGGCGAACGGGUGAGUAAUGCUUAGGAAUCUGCCUAUUAGUGGGGGAUAACGUAGGGAAACUUACGCUAAUACCGCAUACGACCUACGGGUGAAAGGGGGCUUUUAGCUCUCGCUAAUAGAUGAGCCUAAGUCGGAUUAGCUGGUUGGUGGGGUAAAGGCCUACCAAGGCGACGAUCUGUAGCUGGUCUGAGAGGAUGAUCAGCCACACUGGGACUGAGACACGGCCCAGACUCCUACGGGAGGCAGCAGUGGGGAAUAUUGGACAAUGGGCGAAAGCCUGAUCCAGCCAUGCCGCGUGUGUGAAGAAGGCCUUUUGGUUGUAAAGCACUUUAAGUGGGGAGGAAAAGCUUAUGGUUAAUACCCAUAAGCCCUGACGUUACCCACAGAAUAAGCACCGGCUAACUCUGUGCCAGCAGCCGCGGUAAUACAGAGGGUGCAAGCGUUAAUCGGAAUUACUGGGCGUAAAGCGCGCGUAGGUGGUUAUUUAAGUCAGAUGUGAAAGCCCCGGGCUUAACCUGGGAACUGCAUCUGAUACUGGAUAACUAGAGUAGGUGAGAGGGGAGUAGAAUUCCAGGUGUAGCGGUGAAAUGCGUAGAGAUCUGGAGGAAUACCGAUGGCGAAGGCAGCUCCCUGGCAUCAUACUGACACUGAGGUGCGAAAGCGUGGGUAGCAAACAGG